RNAcentral lists this unclassified non-coding RNA (1075 nucleotides) under Hevea brasiliensis (rubber tree). The record is from RNAcentral. Lineage: Eukaryota; Viridiplantae; Streptophyta; Magnoliopsida; Malpighiales; Euphorbiaceae.
GCAGGGUCCAAUGCAUGCAGGUCAUUAGUUCAUCAUUAUCUCUCUUCAGUUUCUUCACUUUUAAUUCUAUAGUGGUGUAAAAUGAAAAUUAUUUUGAUUAAAAUGACUCUUUGUUAUUUUACUUAUGUUUAAAAAUUAAAAUUUUAUAAGAGUAAUUCAAUUGAUUUUUUUAUUAAUUUUCAUAAAAAUUUUAAUUUUAAAAUUUUAAAAUAAAUUUAUUUAAAAAUUAAAAAUUAAAAGAAUAAUAGAAUUUUCUAAAAUGAUUUUAAAUUAAUUUUAAAAACUUCCUGUAAAAUAAAAUAAAUAUUGUGAAGUAAAAUUUAAAAUCCUAACAUUUACCAUAUUUCUCUAUUUUUUUUUCUAUUUUUUAGUAUUUUUCUCUGUUUUUAGAAUAUAUGAAUGAAAAUAUCUAGAAUUCAAACUUUAUUUACUAUAUUGUCAUGAUUUUUAAAUUAAUAUUACAACUUUUCUUUAAAUUUUAAUUGUUUAUAAUAUAUUUUUUAAAAUUGUAUAAUAAUAUGUUAUUAAAGUAGAAAUUGAUAAAGAAUAGCUUGAUGUGCCUCCAUUCACAUUAGGUGGUGUUUAGUAUGAGAUUAAUAAGAGUAAUUACUGUAAUCAUAAUUUACUUUUUUAAAAAUUAAAAUUUAUAAGAUAAUAUUUAAUUAGAAAUAUUUGAUAUGAGAUUAAUAAGGGUAAUAAUUACUUGUAAUUUUUAAUUAUUGUUUAGAUACCUACAAAAAUUAGAUUAAUUUUUAAUUUCAUUGGUAUUUAUGUUAACUUUAGAGUGUAAAUUAAUAAUUAUCAUCUUUAAAAAGUUAAAAUUUAUAAAACUAACAUUCAAUUCUUGAUUUUUUUAAUUUUUUACAAAAUAUAAUUUUUAUUUUUUAUCAAACAGGAUGAGAGUGGAAAGAUAUUAAGUUUGAGAAUUUUUAUUUAUUUAUUAUAAAAUUUUUUAUUUUUAUGACGAGAAAUAGGGAGGAUUAGCUUUCACUUUGUAGUUGAUUACUUCCUUGAUAUAGUAGUAUGAUGAAUUAGUGCGAAAAUGGGAGUGUAGGUAUGGCCACCACGUGGGAAG